This 1345-nucleotide ribosomal RNA is filed under the name uncultured bacterium. RNAcentral describes it as "partial 16S ribosomal RNA". It matches the Rfam family "Bacterial small subunit ribosomal RNA", at positions 28 to 1381 of the family's 1533-position model. The record is from RNAcentral.
GACGAACGCUGGCUGCGUGCUUAACACAUGCAAGUCGAACGGAAAGGCCCUGCUUUUGUGGGGUGCUCGAGUGGCGAACGGGUGAGUAACACGUGAGUAACCUGCCCUUGACUUUGGGAUAACUUCAGGAAACUGGGGCUAAUACCGGAUAGGAGCUCCUGCUGCAUGGUGGGGGUUGGAAAGUUUCGGCGGUUGGGGAUGGACUCGCGGCUUAUCAGCUUGUUGGUGGGGUAGUGGCUUACCAAGGCUUUGACGGGUAGCCGGCCUGAGAGGGUGACCGGCCACAUUGGGACUGAGAUACGGCCCAGACUCCUACGGGAGGCAGCAGUGGGGAAUAUUGCACAAUGGGCGGAAGCCUGAUGCAGCAACGCCGCGUGCGGGAUGACGGCCUUCGGGUUGUAAACCGCUUUCGCCUGUGACGAAGCGUGAGUGACGGUAAUGGGUAAAGAAGCACCGGCUAACUACGUGCCAGCAGCCGCGGUGAUACGUAGGGUGCGAGCGUUGUCCGGAUUUAUUGGGCGUAAAGGGCUCGUAGGUGUUGAUCGCGUCGGAAGUGUAAUCUUGGGGCUUAACCCUGAGCGUGCUUUCGAUACGGGUUGACUUGAGGAAGGUAGGGGAGAAUGGAAUUCCUGGUGGAGCGGUGGAAUGCGCAGAUAUCAGGAGGAACACCAGUGGCGAAGGCGGUUCUCUGGGCCUUUCCUGACGCUGAGGAGCGAAAGCGUGGGGAGCGAACAGGCUUAGAUACCCUGGUAGUCCACGCUGUAAACGGUGGGUACUAGGUGUAGGGUCCAUUCCACGGGUUCCGUGCCGUAGCUAACGCUUUAAGUACCCCGCCUGGGGAGUACGGCCGCAAGGCUAAAACUCAAAGGAAUUGACGGGGCCCCGCACAAGCGGCGGAGCAUGCGGAUUAAUUCGAUGCAACGCGUAGAACCUUACCUGGGUUUGACAUGGAUCGGGAGUGCUCAGAGAUGGGUGUGCCUCUUUUGGGGUCGGUUCACAGGUGGUGCAUGGCUGUCGUCAGCUCGUGUCGUGAGAUGUUGGGUUAAGUCCCGCAACGAGCGCAACCCUUGUUCACUGUUGCCAGCACGUUAUGGUGGGGACUCAGUGGAGACCGCCGGGGUCAACUCGGAGGAAGGUGGGGAUGACGUCAAGUCAUCAUGCCCCUUAUGUCCAGGGCUUCACGCAUGCUACAAUGGCUGGUACAGAGAGUGGCGAGCCUGUGAGGGUGAGCGAAUCUCGGAAAGCCGGUCUCAGUUCGGAUUGGGGCCUGCAACUCGACCUCAUGAAGUCGGAGUCGCUAGUAAUCGCAGAUCAGCAACGCUGUGGUGAAUACGUUCCCGGGGCU